RNAcentral lists this ribosomal RNA (734 nucleotides) under uncultured Fusobacterium sp. RNAcentral describes it as "bacterial SSU rRNA". It matches the Rfam family "Bacterial small subunit ribosomal RNA", at positions 28 to 776 of the family's 1533-position model. Lineage: Bacteria; Fusobacteriati; Fusobacteriota; Fusobacteriia; Fusobacteriales; Fusobacteriaceae. The record is from RNAcentral.
GAUGAACGCUGACAGAAUGCUUAACACAUGCAAGUCUACUUGAAUUUGGGUUUUUAACUUAGGUUUGGGUGGCGGACGGGUGAGUAACGCGUAAAGAACUUGCCUCACAGCUAGGGACAACAUUUAGAAAUGAAUGCUAAUACCUAAUAUUAUGAUAAUAGGGCAUCCUAUAAUUAUGAAAGCUAUAUGCGCUGUGAGAGAGCUUGCGUCCCAUUAGCUAGUUGGAGAGGUAACGGCUCACCAAGGCGAUGAUGGGUAGCCGGCCUGAGAGGGUGAUCGGCCACAAGGGGACUGAGACACGGCCCUUACUCCUACGGGAGGCAGCAGUGGGGAAUAUUGGACAAUGGACCGAGAGUCUGAUCCAGCAAUUCUGUGUGCACGAUGAAGUUUUUCGGAAUGUAAAGUGCUUUCAGUUGGGAAGAAAGAAAUGACGGUACCAACAGAAGAAGUGACGGCUAAAUACGUGCCAGCAGCCGCGGUAAUACGUAUGGGGCGAGCGUUGUCCGGAAUUAUUGGGCGUAAAGGGUACGUAGGCGGUUUUUUAAGUCAGGUGUGAAAGCGUGAGGCUUAACCUCAUUAAGCACUUGAAACUGGAAGACUUGAGUGAAGGAGAGGAAAGUGGAAUUCCUAGUGUAGCGGUGAAAUGCGUAGAUAUUAGGAGGAAUACCGGUGGCGAAGGCGACUUUCUGGACUUUUACUGACGCUCAGGUACGAAAGCGUGGGGAGCAAACAGG